RNAcentral lists this long non-coding RNA (2967 nucleotides) under Mus musculus (house mouse). RNAcentral describes it as "long non-coding RNA chr3:87660110-87663077". The record is from RNAcentral. Lineage: Eukaryota; Metazoa; Chordata; Mammalia; Rodentia; Muridae.
UUUUUUUCUUUUUUUCAGAUAUAUUUUUAUUAUUUUUUAUUUGUGUGUGUGUAAGGAUGCCCCUAGAGGCCAGAAAAUGAUAUUGGAUCCCCUGGAACUGGAGUUACAGGCAGUUGUGAGCCACCAUGUAGGGCCUGGAAACCAAAUAUGGGUUUCCUGCAAGAGCAGCUGGUGCUCUUAACUACUGAGCAGUCCCCCAGCCUCCAGGUUUCUCUUUGUAAUUUCACAUGUCUAAUUCACAAGAUCCCUUCUCACAUUUAGAAGAGGACUCCUUCAGCAGACUCCUUUCCAAAGCUAACUUUGGGGGACAGGCGAAGGGAGGGAUCCUGAGAGUGUUUCACUGUCUGUGGCUGCUAUCACCGCCAGCAUUAUCUCUGUAUCUGUGAGCUGGGCUCUUUAUUUUCUCACCCUGCCUUUUUUUUUUCCUUCAGUUUCCUGGAAGUGGGUAGGGGUUGGAAGAGAAGACAAAUGGAAAUUUCCGUGCAUCUCUUCACUGUGCAGUGGUUGAGAUGGGGUUUGGGCUACAGAAGAUUGGGAGAGAGAAAUGGAGUCAGCCCUGAGGGAGAACUGCUGAGCUGAUGGUAUGGUCUAAUUACUCCUCUGCUUUGAGCUUGCCUGUAAUUGUGGUUUCUGGGAGCCAGCACGUCCUGGAAAUCUGCUAGGACAGCAGAGAUUUGGGGUUUCCGCCUGGGAUGGAGUUGAAUUUUCCACUUGGAACAGCUUGCCCAGCACCCAUUUUUGGUUGGGAGCAGGACGAAUCCCUAAAGUUCAGAAGGGACAAAGAUCAAUAUCGUCAUGGGACAUAGGCCUUCCCUUGGAACUGAGUAAGAGUUACAUAUUCUGAAAUUGUAGAUGUUUUUGAAAGAUUCAAAUCGGCAGCAGAUAAGCCAGUUUGAAUGAAAGGCAGAUGCUGAAAAGUUAGACCAAACUCUGUCCCUUACCUCGAGAAUGCAUUUACAUGCCAGUUCCUCCCUCACUAUCAUUUUUAUAGGGAUGUUCCUAAAUAAUAAUAGGUGGGGAAAUACUAUACUAAGUCAGCAACUUAAGUUCUCAUUUCUCAUGGUAAUGAGGUGUGGUAAGAGUUGGCAUAUUCUGAGCAUAUAUUAUGUGCCCUUUACCAAACACUUGAGUGAAUUCUGCCAUUUAACUUCCUAAUGAUGCUGUGUCAUAGUUAUUUCAACCUCAGAUGAAGUUGACAGGUUUAAUAUGUUGUCCGAGAUAAAAGGUGCACUUCUGGAUCUGCACCUGAGACAUGAAUUCAAGUACCAACUGCAGGUCUCAGCAGCCUAGGAAUCUCAGACAAGUACUUUAUCUUCUGUUGAUAUCUCAGAGUUGCUGUGAGUAUCAAGUACAAUACUUACUCCUCAGCAUACCUGUUACCCAGCACUUAGCAAAUGAGAGCAGAAUUCUUUAAAGUCUGUAGUGCUAGAUAUGGAACUUGAGACCUGUGCAUCUAGGCAAGCUCUCUACUACAGAGCCCCAUUCCCCCACCCCUCAGUUUGUUAAGAUAGGAUUUCACUAUGAAGUCUUGGCUGGCUUCAAACUCAAGAUCUUCUUGCCUCUACCUCCUGUAUGCUGGGAUCACAGGUGGAUGCACCGUAUGGUCAUAAUUUAAAUGUGAAUACAGAGAAAACAACCUUUCCUGAGUUUGCGAAAUAAGUUUGUUGAAAUAAGUUAAGAACAGAUCUGUGAUAAAGUAGAUACUGAGGGCUCAAGCCAGAGAACAAAACAUCGGUGAGACAUUUCCCCCUGUGGUGCCAGGAAAUGAACCCAGGGCCUCGUGCAUGCUAGGCAAGUGCAUUUUUUCUUAGUUACAUCCCUAGCUUUUGAAAGCAGUGUUUAUAGAGGUGUGUACUUGACACUAAACUGCUUGGGUUCAGCUACCAGCUCCGUGUUACUUACUGGGUGCUUGUAAUCAAGACAGCCUUUCAUAGUCCUGCUUCCUCAGCAUAAAAUAGUAGAAUUGCAUCCCCUCAGGGGACAUUAUGAGAAUUGAAUAGGAUAAAAAAGAAUGAGUUGAAAGUUAUGGAGUGCCAGGCCCUGGCCUGAGCAUUUUAAAGGUGUGUUUUAAAGUAACCCCGUCUUAGAGAUCCUGUGAGAUGGUGGUGCCAUCGUCAUCUCUACUUUAUGGACAAGGAAGCUGCAGCAAGAAGUUAAAUCAGCUCCUUGAGGUUGCAUAGUCAAUAAAGGUCUGGGGCGUUUAAAGCUGUGGAAGAAAGCCUGUGCUUAUAGGUAUGCUUUCUUUCAGUGAGUGCUUGAAAGCAGUCUAGCUCCUGCUUCAGCAUUUCUGUGUGUUUGACAAGCAUACGCUCGGCACUGUGGGUCGGUCAGUACAGGGUAUGGCAGGCAGGAUUUGGGCUCUUUAAUUGUUGCUUAUAUAGUUAGGUGGAGAUAUGUUCAAUAUUGUUGAAAUAAAUGCAGUAUAAACUCAAAACUCAGUAAAAAUUAAUUUUGUUUCUGAAAAGAUCACUGGGGAGGUGGGGCUAGUUAGGAUAGCUUAUUGGAGAUGGUUGUAUUUGAAUCCAGCCUUAGAAAACUGUGCUGAGAAGCAACAAUAAACAAUCUGGAGGCCUGGAAUUGGAAAAAGUUUGAAUUUCCAAGUUAGUCACUCAUCAUUCAACACAUUUUCAUUGAGUGUAUAUUUAGACACCACAUAUUGAGGCUUUAAUCAUCCACAAACCACAUUUCUGAUGGUAGUUCUGUAAGACAUUAUUACCCAUUGAUGUCGUAGCCAUCUUUUGUCUAAGUGCACUAUGAUGUUCAAUCAGCAAUUCAAUGAGCUGACACCCUUCUUAGGAUGUGUCCCUUUAGACAGCCCUCAGUGGAGACUGAGGUCUGAGGGGAUGGCUCAGCUGCCUCUGCCUCUCCCGUCCAUCCAGGUCUGUCUUCUAGAUGUUACUUUUGUGGACUAGUGUCUUCCAAGCUGAGGUACUGUUAUUUUCAUACUCUGGGUGAGCCCUUGCUGUC